GACGAACGCUGGCGGCGUGCUUAACACAUGCAAGUCGAACGGAAAGGCCCUGCUUUUGUGGGGUGCUCGAGUGGCGAACGGGUGAGUAACACGCGAGUAACCUGCCCUUGUCUUUGGGAUAACUUCAGGAAACUGGGGCUAAUAUCGGAUAGGAGCUCCUGCUGCAUGGUGGGGGUUGGAAAGUUUCGGCGGUUGGGGAUGGACUCGCGGCUUAUCAGCUUGUUGGUGGGGUAGUGGCUUACCAAGGCUUUGACGGGUAGCCGGCCUGAGAGGGUGACCGGCCACAUUGGGACUGAGAUACGGCCCAGACUCCUACGGGAGGCAGCAGUGGGGAAUCUUGCACAAUGGGCGGAAGCCUGAUGCAGCAACGCCGCGUGCGGGAUGACGGCCUUCGGGUUGUAAACCGCUUUCGCAUGUGACGAAGCGUGCGUGACGGUAAUGGGUAAAGAAGCACCGGCUAACUACGUG
This 468-nucleotide ribosomal RNA is filed under the name uncultured bacterium. Its description in RNAcentral is "partial 16S ribosomal RNA". It matches the Rfam family "Bacterial small subunit ribosomal RNA", at positions 28 to 507 of the family's 1533-position model. The record is from RNAcentral.